Molecule: unclassified non-coding RNA, 371 nt
Filed under: Bombus terrestris (buff-tailed bumblebee)
Lineage: Eukaryota; Metazoa; Arthropoda; Insecta; Hymenoptera; Apidae
Description: misc RNA ENSBTSG00005029875.1
Source: RNAcentral
GCUUUGUUGAUUAAUUUCGACCUAUUUUCAUUGUUUCAGUCAUUUAUCUAGCGUUACGAAAUUUUUUAAUAUAAAGUUUCAUAAUCGGUUUCUUCGUUUUUAAUAAUAUAGGAUGGCGUAACUAUUUUUUACCAUUGUUACAUCAACGAUUUAUAAAAGAAGACAACGUCUAUCUACUCGAUGCAGCAACGAACAUCCAUAAGAGAAUCUCAAUUCAUCAGAGGAUACGCAAUGAGACAAAAGCUAUCAAUCGCAUCACAAUAAAGCAUCGCCGAAGAAAAAAGAUCUCCGUCGUUUACGGAACAUCCAACUGCAUACCAACGUGUCCAUAUUCCCAUGCAACGUUACGUGCUCCUGCAACACGAGGAAGA